Molecule: long non-coding RNA, 225 nt
Filed under: Brachypodium distachyon (stiff brome)
Lineage: Eukaryota; Viridiplantae; Streptophyta; Magnoliopsida; Poales; Poaceae
Description: long non-coding RNA (BDIS_LNC005028)
Source: RNAcentral
UCCAUCUUGGGAGCUGACGCCCAAAAUAUCUUCCGAUACGGAUAUCUUCCAUGUAAGGUGGCGGAUAGAGCUCAUAAAAUACCUUCUCAAUUAUUCCUUGAUCCUUCUCAGUGACUCCAUCUUUGACCAAUCCGUCGUCCCCUAGUCUACUGCUGCAGUAUAAGCCCAUCAAGGAAAGAUGCAUCUUUGCACCAAGCCUGGCUUUUGUGGCAGACAACAGACAAG